Long non-coding RNA from Bufo gargarizans (Asiatic toad), 690 nucleotides. RefSeq lists it as uncharacterized. The record is from RefSeq and is a predicted model, not a curated record. The transcript is spliced from 3 exons. NCBI's taxonomy places the organism in Eukaryota, Metazoa, Chordata, Amphibia, Anura, Bufonidae.
CCCCCGGCCAAAGUGUGGAAGUGGCGUCCGAGACCCCCAAGGGCCAAGCCAAGUAACUCAGAUCAUUAUUACGCUUCUAAGCCAAGAUGUCAGCACUGUUCAGCGUUGUGUGCCCCGGUGGUUGGGAGAACGAUGACGAACUGGAAGGACAACAAAAGCUGCAGAGAGGAGAACUUCUGUACGACGGAUCGUCUGACUAGAAGUAUGGUGCGUAGUGAUCCAUUCCGUACUGCAAGUGAAACUGAACGUCACAUCCCAAGCCUAGGGCGGCAAACUAAGUCUACACAAACCAUCAGAAGGCGUCUACAUAAAAUUGGGCUACAAGCCAGACUGUCCAGGUACAACUGAUAUAUUGACCUCACUCCACCGCUCUCAAACACUAUCGUGGUGCACAGCAAGACGGCCCUCUUUCUGCUGGUAUAUGAGAUGUGAAUACAUCAUGCAAAGGAAUUAACAAGUGAUCGAGAGUCUACAAAAAGGAGGCUCACCUUGUGUGGUUGUGCUAUGUGUAGGCACAACUCUAGUGUGAGCUCAUCUGGGGUUGUUAAGAUCCCCUCUAAAACGGAUGGUGUGCAGCCAGGGAUACAGGUGCUUCUGGUCAGGGAUGUCUGGAGUCCCUCAGAAGAUGCGUGGAUCAGCAAGGAAGAUGUCCCACGGCGCAAGAGACCUUGCUUUCAGCCCAGCCCCUCA